CUCCAUACUACUACAAAUCCCUCCUCCCCCUUCACCAUCUCCUCCACCUCCAUACUAUUAUAAGUCUCCUCCACCUCCAUCUCCCUCGCCGCCACCUCCUUAUUACUAUAAGUCACCACCUCCUCCAUCUCCAUCACCACCACCUCCAUACUACUACAAAUCCCCUCCUCCCCCUUCACCAUCUCCUCCACCUCCGUACUAUUAUAAGUCUCCUCCACCUCCGUCUCCCUCGCCGCCACCUCCUUAUUACUAUAAGUCACCACCUCCUCCAUACUAAACAAGUCACUACAAGUGAUCAACUCAUGUCAUAGGUUAAUGGAAAAUGUAAUUGCUAUAAGAA
Camellia sinensis is the source of this 340-nucleotide non-coding RNA. The record is from RefSeq and is a predicted model, not a curated record. NCBI's taxonomy places the organism in Eukaryota, Viridiplantae, Streptophyta, Magnoliopsida, Ericales, Theaceae.